CUUCUCCCUCUCCCUCAGCCUUUUUUUUCUCUCUCUCCUCUCCCUCUCCCUCAGCCAAUUUUCGACCUCCUCUCUCUCUCUCUCAGAUUUCUCUCUCUCUCGGAUUCUCUCUCUAGCUCUCGCUGAUUCUUCCUCUCGCCUCCUCCCUCUCGUCGCCUGUGGUUGUGCGAGUUUAGACGAGGGCUUUGUUUGAGUUGUCGAGAGUUGUGGUGCGAAGAGUUCCGACGAGGGUUGCGAGAGAGUUGUUCGAGGGUCGUGCGAAGUGUGUGUGUGGUUCGAGUGUGCGAAAAAGAGUGCUCGAGGGUGUUGUGCGAAGUCGUGCGAGCGGUUCCGAGUCGUGCGAGUGUGGUGGCGCGACAGAUCUGAGUCGCGCGAGUGUGGUUGGGCGACGAAACGAAGGGGGGUGCGAAGGCGUUCGUCGAGGCUGUCUGUGCGAGCGACGAGGGUCGCAGCUGGUGUGGGUGUCCGUGCGCGACGAGCGAAGGAAGCUCGAGUGGUUGCGCGACGGUUUCGGUUUUGUGCGCGGAAGUGGUGCGCGGGUGUGGUGUGGUGUUUCGGUCGCCGGAGUUCUUUUGCCGACGAGUUUUAGCGGUCCCAAUUUCAUAAGCGGCUCGUUCAAUUAAGACAGCGAAAAUUCUCCGCUACAAGACUAGUUGUGCUGGUGCUGCUGCAUGAUAUCAAGCAUACGGGCGGUUAGUCUGUAGUUUUGAAGUUAAACAUUUGGAUUAAGCAUUACUGGAUUUUAUAGACGUUAUUAAAUGGUUUGAGUUUGAAUAAAAGGGGUCAUCUAUGAUUCUCGAGUUGUAUUUACAUUUUUAAUUCCGCUGCAACUUGGUUUUGAGAC
Long non-coding RNA from Beta vulgaris subsp. vulgaris (sugar beet), 844 nucleotides. RefSeq lists it as uncharacterized. NCBI's taxonomy places the organism in Eukaryota, Viridiplantae, Streptophyta, Magnoliopsida, Caryophyllales, Amaranthaceae. The transcript is spliced from 3 exons. The record is from RefSeq and is a predicted model, not a curated record.